GGACCCGUAGCUCAGUUGGUUAGAGCGCCGCGCUCAUAACGCGGUGGUCAUCGGUUCAAAUCCGGUCGGGUCCACCA
Molecule: transfer RNA, 77 nt
Filed under: Euryarchaeota archaeon TMED85
Lineage: Archaea; Methanobacteriati; Methanobacteriota
Also listed under: 4 other names
Description: tRNA-Met
Rfam family: tRNA
About the family: Transfer RNA (tRNA) molecules are approximately 80 nucleotides in length. Their secondary structure includes four short double-helical elements and three loops (D, anti-codon, and T loops).
Source: RNAcentral